RNAcentral lists this ribosomal RNA (206 nucleotides) under uncultured bacterium. Its description in RNAcentral is "partial 16S ribosomal RNA". It matches the Rfam family "Bacterial small subunit ribosomal RNA", at positions 568 to 774 of the family's 1533-position model. The record is from RNAcentral.
CGCGCAGGCGGUCGUUCAAGUCGCGUGUGAAAGCCCCCGGCUCAACUGGGGAGGGUCACGCGAUACUGAUCGACUCGAAGGCAGGAGAGGGUAGUGGAAUUCCCGGUGUAGUGGUGAAAUGCGUAGAUAUCGGGAGGAACACCAGUGGCGAAGGCGACUACCUGGCCUGUUCUUGAUGCUGAGGCGCGAAAGCUAGGGAGCAAACG